CCUCAGUAACUGCGAGUGAAGUGGCAAAAGCUCAAAUUUGAAAUCCGGUACCUCUGGUGCCUGACUUGUAAUUUGGAGAGACAAAUUUGGUUGACGGCGCCGGCCUAGGUUCCUUUGAACAGGACAACGUAGAGGGUGAGAAUCCCGUGCCUGGUUGGAGUGCUGUCGGAUUUGCUAAAUUGUCUUCGACGAGUCGAGUUGUUUGGGAAUGCAGCUCAAAAUGGGUGGUAAAUGUCAUCUAAAGCUAAAUAUUGGCGGGAGACCGAUAGCGCACAAGUAGAGUGAUCGAAAGAUGAAAAGCACUUUGAAAAGAGAGUCAAAAAGUACGUGAAAUUGCUGAAAGGGAAGCGCUUGAGACCAGACUCGAACCGUGGUGAUCAGCCGUGCUUCUGUUCGGUGUCACUCGCCGCGGUUUGGGCCAGCAUCGGUUCUGGCGGUCGGAUAAAAGGUGGAGGAAUGUAGCUUCCUUCGGGGAGUGUUAGUUAGCCCCCACCACAAUGCGGCCAGCCGGGACCGAGGGAUAUAUCGCGCUUCGAUGAAGCCAGGAUGCUGGCGUAAUGGUCUUAAGCGACCCGUCUUGAAACACGGACCAAGGAGUCUAACAUCUAUGCGAGUGUUCGGGUGGAAAACCCUUGCGCGAAAUGAAAGUGAACGGAGGUGGGAACCCGCA
This 670-nucleotide ribosomal RNA is filed under the name Genea coronata. Its description in RNAcentral is "Genea sp. PA-2020a partial large subunit ribosomal RNA". It matches the Rfam family "Eukaryotic large subunit ribosomal RNA", at positions 78 to 747 of the family's 3401-position model. The record is from RNAcentral. Lineage: Eukaryota; Fungi; Ascomycota; Pezizomycetes; Pezizales; Pyronemataceae.